UGACGUUGCAGAUAAAUAUUUAGAUAUAUUUAAAAUAAACUUUGCAAAAUAUACGUCAGAGCCAGAUGCGUAUAAUUUUGAUAAUAAUAACGAUAUCUCAAAUUCUAAAACUAUUUCAAUAUUGCAGGGAUUGAAAAAAAGGAGCAUCAAGUGUCACUAAUGAUAAUAAUCAAUUAUCGACAUACCUCAAUGAGCCACUCGCGUCCGAGAUCAUAAAUAUAUUAGAUUGGUGGAGAGGAAAUGCUGUUCGUUUUCCUCAUUUAGCAAUGAUGGCCAGGGACUAUCUAUGCCAACAGACAACCUCAGUGGCAUCGGAAAGAGCUUUUUCCUUGGCCGAAAAUAUUAUGACAAAACUGAGGAACAGGAUGGCCUCAUCGACGCUAAAGGAAUGUAUGUCACUCUCUUCCUGGGAUACAGAUAUAAUGUCUCUUCGUGAUGACAUAUGGCAUUAAUUUCUCAGCGGGGCUUUAUGUAUGUUCUCUCUACCGUGCAAGACUCACUCGUAAUAGGAAUAUGACAAUUUUAUAUAACGGAAUACGAAUUUUUAACAUAAUAUUUUAUAUGCGUUUGGAUUGGAGAAUAUAUAUAUUUUU
Molecule: long non-coding RNA, 593 nt
Organism: Gordionus sp. m RMFG-2023
Lineage: Eukaryota; Metazoa; Nematomorpha; Gordioida; Chordodea; Parachordodidae
Exons: 3
Source: RefSeq, a predicted model, not a curated record